This 404-nucleotide ribosomal RNA is filed under the name uncultured bacterium. Its description in RNAcentral is "bacterial SSU rRNA". It matches the Rfam family "Bacterial small subunit ribosomal RNA", at positions 355 to 774 of the family's 1533-position model. The record is from RNAcentral.
UAGGGAAUAUUGCACAAUGGGCGAAAGCCUGAUGCAGCGACGCCGCGUGAGUGAAGAAGUUCUUCGGAACGUAAAACUCUGUCCUUUGGGACGAAAGAAAUGACGGUACCAAAGGAGGAAGCCCCGGCUAACUACGUGCCAGCAGCCGCGGUAAUACGUAGGGGGCGAGCGUUGUCCGGAUUUACUGGGCGUAAAGGGUGCGUAGGCGGUUUGAUAAGUUAGUGGUCAAAUGUCAGGGCUAAACCUUGGCUUGCCAUUAAAACUGUCAGACUCGAGUACAGACGAGGUAGGCGGAAUAAGUUAAGUAGCGGUGAAAUGCAUAGAUAUCACACAGAACACCGAUUGCGAAGGCAGCUUUCUAAACUGCGACUGACGCUGAUGCACGAAAGCGUGGGGAUCAAACA